Molecule: transfer RNA, 76 nt
Filed under: Amblyrhynchichthys truncatus
Lineage: Eukaryota; Metazoa; Chordata; Actinopteri; Cypriniformes; Cyprinidae
Description: tRNA-Lys
Rfam family: tRNA
About the family: Transfer RNA (tRNA) molecules are approximately 80 nucleotides in length. Their secondary structure includes four short double-helical elements and three loops (D, anti-codon, and T loops).
Source: RNAcentral
CGCUAAGAAGCUAAAUAUUGGACAAAGCAUUGGCCUUUUAAGCCAAAGACUGGUGAUUCCCGACCACCCUUAGUGA